CAUUAAAUAGCUAAAAGCAAGCAUUGGUCUCUUAAACCACUUAUAAUAACUUAGCGUCUAUUUUUAAUG
Molecule: transfer RNA, 69 nt
Filed under: Curculionidae sp. 1 AH-2016
Lineage: Eukaryota; Metazoa; Arthropoda; Insecta; Coleoptera; Curculionidae
Description: tRNA-Lys
Source: RNAcentral